UACAGAGGUCUCAAGCAUUAAUCGGAUUUAUUGGGCGUAAAGGGCGCGUAGGCGGGAUAGUAAGUCAGAUGUGAAAUCCCGGAGCUUAACUCCGGAACGGCAUUUGAUACUGCCUUCCUAGAGGGUAGACGGAGAAAACGGAAUUCCACAAGUAGCGGUGAAAUGCGUAGAUAUGUGGAAGAACACCUGUGGCGAAAGCGGUUUUCUAGUUUAUUCCUGACGCUGAUGCGCGAAAGCUAGGGGAGCAAACAGG
Molecule: ribosomal RNA, 253 nt
Filed under: uncultured bacterium
Lineage: Bacteria
Description: partial 16S ribosomal RNA
Rfam family: Bacterial small subunit ribosomal RNA
Source: RNAcentral